GACGAACCGUGCGAACGUUAUUCGGAAUCACUGGGCUUAAAGCGCGCGUAGGCGGGUGGGAGCGUCGGCCACUGAAAGCCCCCGGCUCAACCGGGGAAGGGGUGCCGAGACGUCCCGCCUGGAGGGGCGUAGGGGGAUCCGGAACUUCCGGUGGAGCGGUGAAAUGCGUUGAGAUCGGAAGGAACGCCCGUGGCGAAAGCGGGGUCCUGGACGCCAACUGACGCUGAGGCGCGAAAGCUAGGGGAGCAAACGGG
Molecule: ribosomal RNA, 254 nt
Filed under: uncultured bacterium
Lineage: Bacteria
Description: partial 16S ribosomal RNA
Rfam family: Bacterial small subunit ribosomal RNA
Source: RNAcentral